Molecule: ribosomal RNA, 449 nt
Filed under: uncultured bacterium
Lineage: Bacteria
Description: bacterial SSU rRNA
Rfam family: Bacterial small subunit ribosomal RNA
Source: RNAcentral
GAUCCAGACUCCUACGGGAGGCAGCAGUGGGGAAUAUUGCACAAUGGGGGAAACCCUGAUGCAGCGACGCCGCGUGGGCGAGGAAGUAUUUCGGUAUGUAAAGCCCUAUCGGCAGGGAAGAAGAAAUGACGGUACCUGAAUAAGAAGCACCGGCUAAAUACGUGCCAGCAGCCGCGGUAAUACGUAUGGUGCAAGCGUUAUCCGGAAUGACUGGGUGUAAAGGGAGCGUAGACGGUUGUACAAGUCUGAUGUGAAAGCCCACGGCUCAACUGUGGGAGUGCAUUGGAAACUGUAGAACUAGAGUAUCGGAGAGGCAAGUGGAAUUCCUAGUGUAGCGGUGAAAUGCGUAGAUAUUAGGAGGAACACCAGUGGCGAAGGCGGCUUGCUGGACGAAAACUGACGUUGAGGCUCGAAAGCGUGGGGAGCAAACAGGAUUAGAUACCCGUGUA